RNAcentral lists this ribosomal RNA (1459 nucleotides) under uncultured organism. RNAcentral describes it as "16S ribosomal RNA". It matches the Rfam family "Bacterial small subunit ribosomal RNA". The record is from RNAcentral.
UGGCGGCAGGCCUAACACAUGCAAGUCGAACGGUAACAGGAAGAAGCUUGCUUCUUUGCUGACGAGUGGCGGACGGGUGAGUAAUGUCUGGGAAACUGCCUGAUGGAGGGGGAUAACUACUGGAAACGGUAGCUAAUACCGCAUAACGUCGCAAGACCAAAGAGGGGGACCUUCGGGCCUCUUGCCAUCGGAUGUGCCCAGAUGGGAUUAGCUUGUUGGUGGGGUAACGGCUCACCAAGGCGACGAUCCCUAGCUGGUCUGAGAGGAUGACCAGCCACACUGGAACUGAGACACGGUCCAGACUCCUACGGGAGGCAGCAGUGGGGAAUAUUGCACAAUGGGCGCAAGCCUGAUGCAGCCAUGCCGCGUGUAUGAAGAAGGCCUUCGGGUUGUAAAGUACUUUCAGCGGGGAGGAAGGGAGUAAAGUUAAUACCUUUGCUCAUUGACGUUACCCGCAGAAGAAGCACCGGCUAACUCCGUGCCAGCAGCCGCGGUAAUACGGAGGGUGCAAGCGUUAAUCGGAAUUACUGGGCGUAAAGCGCACGCAGGCGGUUUGUUAAGUCAGAUGUGAAAUCCCCGGGCUCAACCUGGGAACUGCAUCUGAUACUGGCAAGCUUGAGUCUCGUAGAGGGGGGUAGAAUUCCAGGUGUAGCGGUGAAAUGCGUAGAGAUCUGGAGGAAUACCGGUGGCGAAGGCGGCCCCCUGGACGAAGACUGACGCUCAGGUGCGAAAGCGUGGGGAGCAAACAGGAUUAGAUACCCUGGUAGUCCACGCCGUAAACGAUGUCGACUUGGAGGUUGUGCCCUUGAGGCGUGGCUUCCGGAGCUAACGCGUUAAGUCGACCGCCUGGGGAGUACGGCCGCAAGGUUAAAACUCAAAUGAAUUGACGGGGGCCCGCACAAGCGGUGGAGCAUGUGGUUUAAUUCGAUGCAACGCGAAGAACCUUACCUGGUCUUGACAUCCACAGAACUUUCCAGAGAUGGAUUGGUGCCUUCGGGAACUGUGAGACAGGUGCUGCAUGGCUGUCGUCAGCUCGUGUUGUGAAAUGUUGGGUUAAGUCCCGCAACGAGCGCAACCCUUAUCCUUUGUUGCCAGCGGUCCGGCCGGGAACUCAAAGGAGACUGCCAGUGAUAAACUGGAGGAAGGUGGGGAUGACGUCAAGUCAUCAAGGCCCUUACGACCAGGGCUACACACGUGCUACAAUGGCGCAUACAAAGAGAAGCGACCUCGCGAGAGCAAGCGGACCUCAUAAAGUGCGUCGUAGUCCGGAUUGGAGUCUGCAACUCGACUCCAUGAAGUCGGAAUCGCUAGUAAUCGUGGAUCAGAAUGCCACGGUGAAUACGUUCCCGGGCCUUGUACACACCGCCCGUCACACCAUGGGAGUGGGUUGCAAAAGAAGUAGGUAGCUUAACCUUCGGGAGGGCGCUUACCACUUUGUGAUUCAUGACUGGGGUGAAGU